RNAcentral lists this ribosomal RNA (467 nucleotides) under uncultured bacterium. RNAcentral's name for it is "partial 16S ribosomal RNA". It matches the Rfam family "Bacterial small subunit ribosomal RNA", at positions 28 to 506 of the family's 1533-position model. The record is from RNAcentral.
GACGAACGCUGGCGGCGUGCUUAACACAUGCAAGUCGAACGGAAAGGCCCUGCUUUUGUGGGGUGCUCGAGUGGCGAACGGGUGAGUAACACGUGAGUAACCUGCCCUUGACUUUGGGAUAACUUCAGGAAACUGGGGCUAAUACCGGAUAGGAGCUCCUGCUGCAUGGUGGGGGUUGGAAAGUUUCGGCGGUUGGGGAUGGACUCGCGGCUUAACAGCUUGUUGGUGGGGUAGUGGCUUACCAAGGCUUUGACGGGUAGCCGGCCUGGGAGGGUGACCGGCACCAUGGGGCCUAGGGUAGGGCCCAGUGGGCAAGGGGGGGAAGGGGGGGGGAACAUGACCCAGGGGGGGGGAGCGGGAGGAGCAAACCCGCGGGGCGGAAAGACGGCCUUUGGGGAGAAAACCGCUUCCGCUUGAGACGAAGCGGUGGUGACGGUAAUGGGAAAAGAAGCACCGGCUAACUACGU